CAACUGUUUUAUUGAUUUCCCAUUCACAUUAUUUAGAGACUUUAGCUCCCACUAAGGCCCACUAACUGUGUCUACACACACAGUACGUUCUCUGUAGGGACCCAGUAUUUCAGGAGUAAAUGGCAGACACAUAUGCUACUGUAUGUUACGGCCUUGGUCAUGCAAUACUCCCAAAGUGACAUUAAUCCAAAAACGCGCACGCACACACAGCUUCACUAAAAUGGUUCCAGCAAUAAGAUACUCCCUCAGAGACUCAACGCACACAGGUAGCCACACACAUUUUGGAAACAUGCGAACACACACAUGCAUGCAGAUACUAACAGAGAAGCUCUUUACUUGAGAGACCAUCCACUUCAGUGUGCUCUGGAAAAGAAUUGUUUAAGUGUGGCACAACGGCAGAUGGGGGGCCUGAGUGGAGGAGUGAAAGAUGGGGGGAACGGAGGUGUGGAAAGCCAGUAAGUGGAGCUGAAUUCAGCGGGACAGUAAUUAUUUCUCGCUGCUGGUAUUUGACACCUGCCAGGGAAUGUCUGUAAAAACCCUACAGCUAGCAGAACAGAACAACACAACAUAGAGAGAUAGAGUCUCGGUGCUUAGGGAUUGAUUGAUAACUGUACUUACUCUACUUGGCCUUUUACCCCCAGGCACUGAAAAGAACAAUGAGACACUUCUUCACAGUGUUUGUAAGUAUCUGAGAGAAAAAGUGGGAGAAUCCACCUCUCUCUCUCUCUCUCUCUCUCUCUCUCUCUAUGUGUGUAUGUGUGUGUGUGUGAACAGCCUUAUGCACAUGCAUGUUUCCAUUGACAAUUUGCUUUCUGAACUGUAAAUCACUAUUACACUCUGCUUUUUCACUAUUUUAUAGUGUCAUCUCACAAAUCCCAGCGGUUCAAUUCAAUCACACCUAUUGUUCUCUGACGGGUCCUGCUGAGGAUGUAAUAUUCCCAGCCAACAUGGCACUUUUGCCUCAUAAAGAUGUACAUCCUUAUUUGGCCUUGGCUCUGUACAUCUAUGAGGAUAUGCAAAAGAAAAGCAGACAUGGCCUUUCCCCUCCAAACGAAGACAGCAUUACUAAUAAACAUUUGACUGAAACAUUUUUAAAACUAAUAAGUGUUUAAUUCAACACAAAGAUGUGCUAUUUCUUCCAUAUAUAUUUUUUGAAAUGUGAACAUCUUGUCAAAAUAUGCAGAUUGUAGCAUGCACAAAUAUAUAAAAAUGAUAAAAAUUCUGUUUUUAUUAAUGUUUCCCUUUCUAUGCAUACACAAAGGCUUACUGUAAUGCUAUUUUUAAGUUUUCUUGGUGUUUAGCCGAGCAGAGAUGGUCAGAACAUCCUUGAAUUAAAUUAUUUAUUUAUUAUUAUUAUUAUUUUUUUUUUUUUUAUGGCUAAGAAUGAAAAGAGAUUAGUUGAAAAUUAAAGGCUUUCACAUUUACUCUGCUGGUAUUUUUCUCUUGUUGUGCUGAUCUAUAAACCCAGGCGCUUUGCAGAAUGUUUCUUUAGAAGUUUGUAAGCCACUGCCUCUGUGUGUGUGCAUGUUUGUUUUUGCAAUCAGAGUCUGUUCUGUGGCUUAUUGGUUUAGUGUAAUUUGGGAGUAGCUCUAUUAAAAGAGAUGCUUUUGUUUACACAACAUUUUGACAGCAUUCCCCUGUCCAUCCCAGAACAUUAUGGUUAGAGUGU
Cyprinus carpio carpio is the source of this 1669-nucleotide long non-coding RNA. The record is from Ensembl. Lineage: Eukaryota; Metazoa; Chordata; Actinopteri; Cypriniformes; Cyprinidae.